UAAGUGAUAUAGAGCAAAACCCUAAAAACGGUACUCAGUUCGGAUUGAAGGCUGAAAUUCGCCUUCAUGAAGCUGGAAUUGCUAGUAAUGGCAGGUCAGCAUACUGCCGUGAAUACGUUCCCGGGCCUUGUACACACCGCCCGUCACACCAUGAGAGUUGGGAAUACCCGAAGCCUGUGAGCUAACUUUUAGAGGCAGCAGUCGAAGGUAGAAUCAAUGAUUGGGGUGAAGUCGUAACAAGGUAAC
Molecule: ribosomal RNA, 246 nt
Filed under: uncultured bacterium
Lineage: Bacteria
Description: partial 16S ribosomal RNA
Rfam family: Bacterial small subunit ribosomal RNA
Source: RNAcentral